RNAcentral lists this ribosomal RNA (834 nucleotides) under bacterium SCGC AAA204-J06. RNAcentral's name for it is "bacterial SSU rRNA". It matches the Rfam family "Bacterial small subunit ribosomal RNA", at positions 34 to 873 of the family's 1533-position model. The record is from RNAcentral.
CGCUGGCGGUGUGCCUAAGACAUGCAAGUCGAACGGAAUUUGUUGUUUACACAAAGGUGAGUCGUACAGUGGACUCCUUUGUGUAAAUAAUAAGUUUAGUGGCAAACGGGUGAGUAACGAGUACGAACGUACUCUUAAGCGGAGGAUAGCCCACCGAAAGGUGGAGUAAUACUCCAUGUGGUCGCAAGACCAAAGACGCAAGUCACUUAAGAAGCGGCGUACUUACUACCAGCUAGUUGGUGAGGUAACGGCUCACCAAGGCUAUGACGGUUACCGGCUCUUAGCGGAGAGUCCGGCACAAUGGGACUGAGACACGGCCCAUACUUCUACGGAAGGCAGCAGUUAGGAAUUUUGCGCAAUGGACGAAAGUCUGACGCAGCGACACCGCGUGUGGGAUGAAGGCUCUAGGGUCGUAAACCACUUUUAUUUCAUCAUGAAGAUAGAAUGAAUAAGGAACUACUAACUACGUGCCAGCAGUCGCGGUAAUACGUAGGUUCCAAGCGUUACCCGGAUUUAUUGGGCGUAAAGCGUCUGUAGGCUGCUUUAUAAGUCUUGUUUCAAAUACUCCGACUCAAUCGGAGAAAGGGGCAAGAUACUGUAUCGCUAGAGUCAUAUCGGAGUUACUGGAAUUUUCAGUGUAGGAGUAAAAUCCGUGGAUACUGAAAAGAACACCAAGCGCGAAGGCGGGUAACUAGGUAUGUACUGACGCUCAGAGACGAAAGCUAGGGUAGCCAAUCAGAUUAGAGACCUGAGUAGUCCUAGCCGUAAACAUUGUUCGUUAAUUCUUCGGGAUUUAUCCUGGGGGAUGUAAGCUAACGCGUUAAACGAACCGCC